Rattus norvegicus (Norway rat) is the source of this 887-nucleotide non-coding RNA. Lineage: Eukaryota; Metazoa; Chordata; Mammalia; Rodentia; Muridae. The record is from RefSeq and is a predicted model, not a curated record.
CCAGCAGGGGGCGCCACAGGGCCACGGCUCGGUCGUGCGUGCGCUAAGUCACCCGGCCGUGAGUUCCUGAGGUCGCAGCCGCCCCGCCUUGUUCGGGUUUCCGCGGGGCGUGGACAUUGGGAGGAUUGCUUCCCCUCUGCGAGUCCGCUUGAGUUGAGGACGCGAAGGCGGUCCAGCCGCGCCCCUGUGUAUUCUUAGCUGAGGAUGUCCCCGCCUAGGUAGGGUACGGUUUACGGCCAGUCCUCAACUCUGAAAAUGAGUGCGACUCGGCGUUUAAUAAAGGUAGCCAUGCUGAGCAGGGCUUCGGAGGACAGGCUCGGAAGGGAGUGGGCCGGGGAAGCCACACGCCCAGGAACCCUUGGCUGGGCACAAAAGGAAACUGACCGGGACUCACCUGGGUCACGGCUGCCACCCUGCGGACAGGAAGCUUGGAAGGUGUAUUUUUGUUUUUACCUGCAUGUCUGCAUCAAGUGCGUGCAGUGCCUGUGGAAGCUGAAAGAGGUCGGACGCAUUGGAACUGGAGUUACAGAUUGUUGUGAGCCACCAAGUGGGUGACCAGGCUAGCCUGGCAUUCAAAGAUCCAACCUGCCUGUACCUCCAAGUGCCGGGAUCAAAGGCAUGCAGCACCACCACCCAGGCUGCACGAGUGAUUUAAGAGAUUUAAAAUUUGCAGUUGGAUUUCCAGUUAGCACCAUGGCUCAGUGGGUAGAGAAGCUGAAAAGCCUGGUCAUCUGAGUCUGAUCCCUGGAACCCACAUAAAGCGGAAGGAAGGAAUCCAGUGCACAGAACCGUCCUCUCACUUCCACACGAGUGAUUUUGGCCCCCGCGUGUGCACACACACUGCGUUUACAUACACAACAAUAAGUAAAUCAGCUAUAGUUCUUAGA